This 1986-nucleotide long non-coding RNA is filed under the name Citrus sinensis (sweet orange). RNAcentral describes it as "long non-coding RNA (CSIN_LNC005252)". The record is from RNAcentral. Lineage: Eukaryota; Viridiplantae; Streptophyta; Magnoliopsida; Sapindales; Rutaceae.
UUCUGUAACGUAUGUGAAAAAAAUAAUAAUAAUAAUAAGAGGAAGCUGGGUAAUGUUUUAUGGGGGAGAGGGAUAGAGGAAGCUGUCAAACCGACCCGGAAAACCCGACCCAAAACUGCGAACCCGACCCAGACAUAUCUCCGAUUUUCGGCCACCUCACCGGCCAUGGAUGGUAGCAACGAAAGCUCCUGAGCCAGCCAUCACUUUCCCACCGUCACUGUCGCCAAAAACCAACCGAAACGCCGCCGUUUGAAGCGCGAAUAGUCGCAGCCAAAACCUAUCACGACCGUCGUUGAUUCCGUCGGAAUUAGGCCAUGCCAGACGGAGAAAUGGUAAGGAGGAAACAGAGGCUGUAACGGAGGUGGGGUAAAUGGAGGAUGAUAGAGAGAGUGCAAUCAACGGCCGUGCCGAGGGAGAGGAGGAGGAGGGUAAGGUUAUGGACGGCUGUGAUGGGCUUGAGGAUGUGGGGUCCAAUGAGAGGUAGUGAUGGUGGCGAUGUUGAUGUUGAUGCGUGGUAGAGGAUGAAUGUGAGGGAGAGGUAAGUGAGGAUGGAGAGAAUGAGGAAGUGUGGGGAGGAAGCUAGUGUUUGGUUCUGAGUCCAUGUGAAGUUGAGGAUUUGGGGGUGGUUUAUAGCAAAUAUUGGAGUGUUGCGGUAAUUGAAUAUGAAGCCAUGGCUGGUUUUUUGGGGGAGAAAGAUUUGGAAGAGAUGAUGUUCAGAGGAACGGGGGAGUUUAUAAAGUUUUGGGAUAAUGCGGAGGGUAUUUUGGACAUAUUGUUAUCUUAGCUUAAAUUUUAGGAAAAAGAUAAUCAAUAAUAAGCUCUUUUUUCAUGUCAAUUUAAAACUCUCCAUUAGGUUAAUUGUCACAUCAUUAAUUUUAGAUUAUAAACUUUAUAUUCGAACUUUGUAAGACCAUCAUUUCUCCCUUUUUAUUAAAAAAAAAAUUAACUUCUUGCAUGAUCUAGUUGGUCUCCUUUCAAAAGAAACCAAAAAAAAUAAAAUAAAAUAAAAGGAAAUAAAGCAUAUUCUUUAUCUUAAUUACUUUCAUUUGUUAUUGACAUGUACUCAUGCAUUGUGCUUUUGUAUACUUUAUCGAUAUGUUUUGCUUAAGGGAUAAAACUCAUUAUGUGGCAAAAUUUUAUUAGAGCUGGGAUUAUUUAUGUAUGUUCUAGUACUUUGAGCAUCUUACUAUACACUCGUCUAUAAAAUUUUAACAUUAAUUUUUACUACUCAUCGAAAUAUCAAAAUUGUUCUGUAACGUAUGUGAAAAAAUAAUAAUAAUAAUAAGAGGAAGCUGGGUAAUGUUUUAUGGGCGAGAGGGAUAGAGGAAGCUGUCAAACCGACCCGGAAAACCCGACCCAAAACUGCGAACCCGACCCAGACAUAUCUCCGAUUUUCGGCCACCUCACCGGCCAUGGAUGGUAGCAACGAAAGCUCCUGAGCCAGCCAUCACUUUCCCACCGUCACUGUCGCCAAAAACCAACCGAAACGCCGCCGUUUGAAGCGCGAAUUGUCGCAGCCAAAACCUAUCACGACCGUCGUUGAUUCCGUCGGAAUUAGGCCAUGCCAGACGGAGAAAUGGUAAGGAGGAAACAGAGGCUGUAACGGAGGUGGGGUAAAUGGAGGAUGAUAGAGAGAGUGCAAUCAACGGCCGUGCCGAGGGAGAGGAGGAGGAGGGUAAGGUUAUGGACGGCUGUGAUGGGCUUGAGGAUGUGGGGUCCAAUGAGAGGUGAUGAUGGUGGUGAUGUUGAUGUUGAUGCGUGGUAGAGGAUGAAUGUGAGGGAGAGGUAAGUGAGGAUGGAGAGAAUGAGGAAGUGUGGGGAGGAAGCUAGUGUUUGGUUCUGAGUCCAUGUGAAGUUGAGGAUUUGGGGGUGGUUUACAAGCCAAUAUUGGAGUGUUGAGGUAAUUGAAUAUGAAGCCAUGGCUGGUUUUUUUGGGGGAGGGGGAGAAAGAUUUGGAAGAGAUGAUGUUGAGAGGAACGGGAGAGC